Molecule: ribosomal RNA, 497 nt
Filed under: uncultured bacterium
Lineage: Bacteria
Description: partial 16S ribosomal RNA
Rfam family: Bacterial small subunit ribosomal RNA
Source: RNAcentral
GAUGAACGCUGGCGGCGUGCCUAAUACAUGCAAGUCGAGCGAACAGAUGAGGAGCUUGCUCCUCUUACGUUAGCGUCGGACGGGUUAGUAACACUUGGAUAACCUACCUAUAAGACUGGGAUAACUUCGGGAAACCGGAGCUAAUACCUGAUAAUAUAUUGAACCGCAUGGUUCAAUAGUGAAAGACGGUUUUGCUGUCACUUAUAGAUGGAUCCGCUCCGCAUUAGCUAGUUGGUAAGGUAACGGCUUACCAAGGCAACGAUGCGUAGCCGACCUGAGAGGGUGAUAGGCCACACUGGAACUGAGACACGGUCCAGACUCCUACGGGAGGCAGCAGUAGGGAAUCUUCCGCAAUGGGCGAAAGACUGACGGAGCAAAGCCGCGUGAGUGAUGAAGGUCUUCGGAUCGUAAAACUCUGUUAUUAGGGAAGAACAAAUGUGUAAGUAACUAUGCACGUCUUGACGGUACCUAAUCAGAAAGCCACGGCUAACUACGUG